GUGAGUCAUCGAGUCUUUGAACGCACCUUGCGCUCCUUGGUAUUCCGAGGAGCAUGCCUGUUUGAGUGUCAUGAAAUUCUCAACUGCCUUUUAGCAUUUAUGUUAAGGGUGAAGUUGGAGUUGGAGGAUAAUUGCUGGCGCAACUGAGGUUGCUUGUUGGCUCCUCUUGAAUGAAUGAGUUUUUCUGAUGGAUCAUAGCUCAGUAACACUAAUGUGAUAAUUAUCUACGUUAGAUGUGAAGAGGCUCCUACAAGAAAAGGUGUAUCGUUGGGGAAUAACAAACCCUUUGACUUUGACAAAUCUGACCUCAAAUCAGGUAGGACUACCCGCUGAACUUAAGCAUAUCAAUAAGCGGAGG
RNAcentral lists this ribosomal RNA (358 nucleotides) under uncultured fungus. RNAcentral's name for it is "eukaryotic LSU rRNA". The stretch from base 1 to 71 matches the Rfam family "5.8S ribosomal RNA", at positions 84 to 154 of the family's 154-position model. Lineage: Eukaryota; Fungi. The record is from RNAcentral.